GAAAAUAAUAUAGUAGUGGUAUAGAUGCACAAAAUAGUUCUAUCUUCUCUAUUUCAUGAUUGUGCAAGAACACCGUGAAAGUUCGAUCCAUGUUGUGUCAUUGUGGUUUCUGUUUGAUCACUCGAGGUGAAGUCAAUGCAGCAAGUUCUCUCGCUCCAAAAUCAGUGAAGGCCUUGCAAGGAAAUCUACAAAGGACUUGAAGG
This 203-nucleotide unclassified non-coding RNA is filed under the name Hevea brasiliensis (rubber tree). The record is from RNAcentral. Lineage: Eukaryota; Viridiplantae; Streptophyta; Magnoliopsida; Malpighiales; Euphorbiaceae.